RNAcentral lists this ribosomal RNA (490 nucleotides) under uncultured bacterium. RNAcentral describes it as "partial 16S ribosomal RNA". It matches the Rfam family "Bacterial small subunit ribosomal RNA", at positions 28 to 507 of the family's 1533-position model. The record is from RNAcentral.
GAUGAACGCUCGCGGCAGGCCUAAUACAUGCAAGUCGAACGGGAUUGCGGUAGUAGCUUGCUACUACUGCAUGAGAGUGGCGCACGGGUGCGUAACGCGUGAGCAACCUACCCAUAUCAGGGGGAUAGCCCGGCGAAAGUCGGAUUAACACCGCAUAACAUCAACAGUUCGCAUGUUCAGUUGAUUAAAUAUUUAUAGGAUAUGGAUGGGCUCGCGUGACAUUAGCUAGUUGGUAGGGUAACGGCUUACCAAGGCAACGAUGUCUAGGGGCUCUGAGAGGAGAAUCCCCCACACUGGUACUGAGACACGGACCAGACUCCUACGGGAGGCAGCAGUAAGGAAUAUUGGUCAAUGGGCGCAAGCCUGAACCAGCCAUGCCGCGUGCAGGAGGACUGCCCUAGGGGUUGUAAACUGCUUUUAUCAGGGAAUAAACCCCUUUACGAGUAGAGGGUUGAAUGUACCUGAAGAAUAAGGAUCGGCUAACUCCGUG